UCACCAGGUAUCCAGAACUGCUGUUCU
Molecule: non-coding RNA, 27 nt
Filed under: Mus musculus (house mouse)
Lineage: Eukaryota; Metazoa; Chordata; Mammalia; Rodentia; Muridae
Source: RNAcentral